AGAGUUUGAUCAUGGCUCAGGACGAACGCUGGCGGCGUGCUUAACACAUGCAAGUCGAACGAUGAACUCCAGCUUGCUGGGGGGAUUAGUGGCGAACGGGUGAGUAACACGUGAGUAACCUGCCCUGGACUCUGGGAUAACCCCGAGAAAUCGGAGCUAAUACCGGAUAGGACCUCGAAUCGCAUGGUUUGGGGUGGAAAGUUUUUCGGUCUGGGAUGGACUCGCGGCCUAUCAGCUUGUUGGUGAGGUAAUGGCUCACCAAGGCGUCGACGGGUAGCCGGCCUGAGAGGGUGACCGGCCACACUGGGACUGAGACACGGCCCAGACUCCUACGGGAGGCAGCAGUGGGGAAUAUUGCACAAUGGGCGCAAGCCUGAUGCAGCAACGCCGCGUGGGGGAUGACGGCCUUCGGGUUGUAAACCUCUUUUAGUAGGGAAGAAGGGCUUCGGCUUGACGGUACCUGCAGAAAAAGGACCGGCUAACUACGUGCCAGCAGCCGCGGUAAUACGUAGGGUCCGAGCGUUGUCCGGAAUUAUUGGGCGUAAAGAGCUCGUAGGCGGUUUGUCGCGUCUGCUGUGAAAUCCCGAGGCUCAACCUCGGGCCUGCAGUGGGUACGGGCAGACUUGAGUGCGGUAGGGGAGAAUGGAAUUCCUGGUGUAGCGGUGGAAUGCGCAGAUAUCAGGAGGAACACCGAUGGCGAAGGCAGUUCUCUGGGCCGUAACUGACGCUGAGGAGCGAAAGCGUGGGGAGCGAACAGGAUUAGAUACCCUGGUAGUCCACGCCGUAAACGUUGGGCGCUAGAUGUGGGGACCUUUCCACGGUUUCCGUGUCGUAGCUAACGCAUUAAGUGCCCCGCCU
RNAcentral lists this ribosomal RNA (858 nucleotides) under uncultured bacterium. Its description in RNAcentral is "bacterial SSU rRNA". It matches the Rfam family "Bacterial small subunit ribosomal RNA", at positions 9 to 873 of the family's 1533-position model. The record is from RNAcentral.